RNAcentral lists this ribosomal RNA (599 nucleotides) under Vibrio fortis. RNAcentral describes it as "bacterial SSU rRNA". It matches the Rfam family "Bacterial small subunit ribosomal RNA", at positions 73 to 667 of the family's 1533-position model. Lineage: Bacteria; Pseudomonadati; Pseudomonadota; Gammaproteobacteria; Vibrionales; Vibrionaceae. The record is from RNAcentral.
UCGGGGAACGAUAACGGCGUCGAGCGGCGGACGGGUGAGUAAUGCCUAGGAAAUUGCCUUGAUGUGGGGGAUAACCAUUGGAAACGAUGGCUAAUACCGCAUGAUGCCUACGGGCCAAAGAGGGGGACCUUCGGGCCUCUCGCGUCAAGAUAUGCCUAGGUGGGAUUAGCUAGUUGGUGAGGUAAUGGCUCACCAAGGCGACGAUCCCUAGCUGGUCUGAGAGGAUGAUCAGCCACACUGGAACUGAGACACGGUCCAGACUCCUACGGGAGGCAGCAGUGGGGAAUAUUGCACAAUGGGCGCAAGCCUGAUGCAGCCAUGCCGCGUGUAUGAAGAAGGCCUUCGGGUUGUAAAGUACUUUCAGCAGUGAGGAAGGGGGUGUCGUUAAUAGCGGCAUCUCUUGACGUUAGCUGCAGAAGAAGCACCGGCUAACUCCGUGCCAGCAGCCGCGGUAAUACGGAGGGUGCGAGCGUUAAUCGGAAUUACUGGGCGUAAAGCGCAUGCAGGUGGUUUGUUAAGUCAGAUGUGAAAGCCCGGGGCUCAACCUCGGAACUGCAUUUGAAACUGGCAAACUAGAGUACUGUAGAGGGGGGUAGAAU